This 425-nucleotide ribosomal RNA is filed under the name uncultured bacterium. RNAcentral's name for it is "partial 16S ribosomal RNA". It matches the Rfam family "Bacterial small subunit ribosomal RNA", at positions 354 to 796 of the family's 1533-position model. The record is from RNAcentral.
GUGGGGAAUAUUGGGCAAUGGGCGAAAGCCUGACCCAGCAACGCCGCGUGAAGGAAGAAGGUUUUCGGAUCGUAAACUUCUAUCCUUGGUGAAGAUAAUGACGGUAGCCAAGAAGGAAGCCCCGGCUAACUACGUGCCAGCAGCCGCGGUAAUACGUAGGGGGCAAGCGUUGUCCGGAAUGAUUGGGAGUAAAGGGCGCGUAGGCGGCCCGGUAAGUCUGAAGUGAAAGUCCUGCUUUUAAGGUGGGAAUUGCUUUGGAUACUGUCGGGCUUGAGUGCAGGAGAGGUAAGCGGAAUUCCCGGUGUAGCGGUGAAAUGCGUAGAGAUCGGGAGGAACACCAGUGGCGAAGGCGGCUUACUGGACUGUAACUGACGCUGAGGCGCGAAAGUGUGGGGAGCAAACAGGAUUAGAAACCCCAGUAGUCC